AGAGCGAACGCUGGCGGCAGGCCUAACACAUGCAAGUCGAGCGCCCCGCAAGGGGAGCGGCAGACGGGAGAGUAACACGUGGGAACGUACCCUUCAGUUCGGAACAACCCAGGGAAACUUGGGCUAAUACCGAAUACGUCCGUAAGGAGAAAGAUUUAUCGCUGAAGGAUCGGCCCGCGUCUGAUUAGCUUGUUGGUGAGGUAAUGGCUCACCAAGGCGACGAUCGGUAGCUGGUCUGAGAGGACGAUCAGCCACACUGGGAUUGAGAACGGCCCAGACUCCUACGGGGGGCAGCAGUGAGGAAUUUUCCGCAAUGGGCGCAAGCCUGACGGAGCAACGCCGCGUGCAGGAAGACGGUUUUCGGAUCGUAAACUGCUUUUCUCGGGGACGAGAACGGACGGUACCCGAGGAAUCAGCCCCGGCUAACUACGUGCCAGCAGCCGC
RNAcentral lists this ribosomal RNA (444 nucleotides) under uncultured bacterium. Its description in RNAcentral is "SSU rRNA". It matches the Rfam family "Bacterial small subunit ribosomal RNA", at positions 26 to 518 of the family's 1533-position model. The record is from RNAcentral.